AUUGAACGCUGGCGGCAGGCCUAACACAUGCAAGUCGAGCGGAUGAAGGGAGCUUGCUCCUGGAUUCAGCGGCGGACGGGUGAGUAAUGCCUAGGAAUCUGCCUGGUAGUGGGGGAUAACGUCCGGAAACGGGCGCUAAUACCGCAUACGUCCUGAGGGAGAAAGUGGGGGAUCUUCGGACCUCACGCUCUCAGAUGAGCCUAGGUCGGAUUAGCUAGUUGGUGGGGUAAAGGCCUACCAAGGCGACGAUCCGUAACUGGUCUGAGAGGAUGAUCAGUCACACUGGAACUGAGACACGGUCCAGAGUCAUACGGGAGGCAGCAGUGGGGAAUAUUGGACAAUGGGCGAAAGCCUGAUCCAGCCAUGCCGCGUGUGUGAAGAAGGUCUUCGGAUUGUAAAGCACUUUAAGUUGGGAGGAAGGGCAGUAAGUUAAUACCUUGCUGUUUUGACGUUAACAACAGAAUAAGCACCGGCUAACUUCGUG
RNAcentral lists this ribosomal RNA (484 nucleotides) under uncultured bacterium. RNAcentral's name for it is "partial 16S ribosomal RNA". It matches the Rfam family "Bacterial small subunit ribosomal RNA", at positions 30 to 507 of the family's 1533-position model. The record is from RNAcentral.